CCUACGGGUGGCAGCAGUGGGGAAUAUUGCACAAUGGGGGAAACCCUGAUGCAGCGACGCCGCGGGAGUGAAGAAGUAAUUCGUUAUGUAAAGCUCUAUCAGCAGGGAAGAAAAUGACGGUACCUGAGUAAGAAGCCCCGGCUAACUACGUGCCAGCAGCAGCGGUAAUAAGUAGGGGGCAAGCGUUAUCCGGAUUUACUGGGUGUAAAGGGAGCGGCGACGGCAGUGGAAGUCUGGAGUGAAGGGCGGGGGCUCAACCCCCGGACUGCUCUGGAAACUGUACGGCGGGAGUGCAGGAGAGGUAAGUGGAAUUCCUAGUGUAGCGGUGAAAUGCGUAGAUAUUAGGAGGAACACCAGUGGCGAAGGCGGCUUACUGGACUGUAACUGACGUUGAGGCUCGAAAGCGUGGGGAGCAAACAGGAUUAGAUACCCUAGUAGUC
Molecule: ribosomal RNA, 440 nt
Filed under: uncultured bacterium
Lineage: Bacteria
Description: partial 16S ribosomal RNA
Rfam family: Bacterial small subunit ribosomal RNA
Source: RNAcentral